GGAAAGGUGCCCGAGUCGUUAUGGGGUUGCACUUAAGAUAUAUAACAAAUCUCAUCAUGCACUGACUAACCGUCGUCGCGGGUUCAAAUCCCGCCCUUUCCA
Molecule: transfer RNA, 102 nt
Organism: Pseudozyma hubeiensis SY62
Lineage: Eukaryota; Fungi; Basidiomycota; Ustilaginomycetes; Ustilaginales; Ustilaginaceae
Rfam family: tRNA
About the family: Transfer RNA (tRNA) molecules are approximately 80 nucleotides in length. Their secondary structure includes four short double-helical elements and three loops (D, anti-codon, and T loops).
Source: Rfam